This 1248-nucleotide long non-coding RNA is filed under the name Phoenix dactylifera (date palm). RNAcentral describes it as "long non-coding RNA (PDAC_LNC015304)". The record is from RNAcentral. Lineage: Eukaryota; Viridiplantae; Streptophyta; Magnoliopsida; Arecales; Arecaceae.
UAAGGUAUUGUUUUGGCCACUUCAAUGCCCAAAAGAUGUUAUGCUUUGACUAAAAAUUUUCACCCACUUGCCUGAACCUAGUAUUCAGGCUCAAGGGACUUCAAUUUGAUCAUGGGCCUGGUUGUUUUCAGGCUGCACAUAAGGCUUCUCAGGCUGGGUCGGCCAAAUAGCUUGAACAGUUCGGCAAACAAGACGUGUCAGAUGCACCGAUUCUAUUGGUUGUUCUGAUAAAUUUUUUAUUUUAUUUGCUCAUGAUACUUAGUAUAUAGCUAAUAUAGGAUUAAACACACGGGCUUCAACUUAUUUUGGCAUUUAAGACUUUAAAAGGAAUAUUGAUGAAGCCGCUUUAGCUGAAUGAAAAUUUUUCAUCAUAUAGGACUUUGAAACAAGAAGGAAUAAGGCUGAAUGAGAAUUGGCAGUUUCCGGUGUUUUCCCGGUAAUUAUUGUUACAAACUUUUCAAUUAUUGCCUGGGCGUUACUCUAUUUGGAUAUUAGCUAAACCUGAAAAAAUCAAAUAGUUUACACAGAUAGCUGCGGAAGGGAAAGCUGAUCAAAAGGAUUUGAACUCAUCCAUCUUCAAGUCUUAUGGGUACUGACCAGAAGAAUCGAUUCCACUUGGUCAUUAGACAUAGUCUCUUGUGUAUUUUUUGGUUCAAAUUGGAUGCUAAGAAAUGUAACGAGUUAUUUUUAAGAUGAAGACAGAUAGAAGGAAGACCAUGUUCCUUAGCAUCAUGCUGGAAUGACCAGAGAAAGAGUAGAAGAAUCAUGUUGGAUUUAUUGCUUAAGGCUGAUAGUAGUGGAAUCCAAAAGGAGAAGAAUAAGCAUAUAUAUGAAGGAGCUGAAUGUAGUUUGGCGAAUGGUGGCUCCUGACAAAAUGGAAGUAAUGCUAUUUCGGUUCUUUUGUGCCAUGCUGCGGAGUCAUGACGUUGAGAUUUAUGAUACCAUGGGCUGCUGACUGUCGAGUUCCAUUGCCUUGGUACAAAUUUGUUAUCUUUUGCCAGGAUCUCAGGAUCUAUGGGCCUUAGUAGAGAGGAUCUAACCGGGGUUUGAUAUGUGCAGUAUCAUUUGUGGGGCUUAACCGCUUAAGGGCUUGGGAUCUAUUCACUUGACAGAUGGUUGGUGAUUGAACCUCUUGGGGAUUUCAUCAGGAAAAAAAAAAAAACUCUUGGGGAUUACUGAAUUUGAGUUUGGUCAUAAUUUCUGUUGGAUAAGGUUUUGGAUGGUGGAGGGAUGCUGUUUUCUGUUGCU